This 181-nucleotide non-coding RNA is filed under the name Alkalihalobacillus sp. MEB130. Its description in RNAcentral is "6S RNA". It matches the Rfam family "6S / SsrS RNA". From Rfam's summary of the family: E. coli 6S RNA was the first non coding RNA to be sequenced, but its function was unknown until recently. It consists of 184 nucleotides that fold into an extended hairpin structure with a large single-stranded internal bulge. Lineage: Bacteria; Bacillati; Bacillota; Bacilli; Caryophanales; Bacillaceae. The record is from RNAcentral.
CGUAUCCUGCCGUGUUAGUCAGCUUCACCUUGUUUCGAACCUUGAUUUUUUUAAGGGAGUUCUAUAUUGAGACGUUGCCAGCAUGCCAGUAUAUUCUGGACGCUGAAUGGGUUUCUGCGAACACCCACCUACGAGUGUAGGUUCAUGAAACAACUGAAGCAACGGCAUACGCGGGUUACAA